UACGUAGGGUGCAAGCGUUGUCCGGAAUUAUUGGGCGUAAAGAGCUCGUAGGCGGUCUGUCACGUCGGCUGUGAAAACCCGAGGCUCAACCUCGGGCCUGCAGUCGAUACGGGCAGACUAGAGUUCGGUAGGGGAGACUGGAAUUCCUGGUGUAGCGGUGAAAUGCGCAGAUAUCAGGAGGAACACCGGUGGCGAAGGCGGUUCUCUGGGCCUGUACUGACGCUGAGGAACGAAAGCGUGGGGAGCGAACAGG
This 253-nucleotide ribosomal RNA is filed under the name uncultured bacterium. RNAcentral's name for it is "partial 16S ribosomal RNA". It matches the Rfam family "Bacterial small subunit ribosomal RNA", at positions 524 to 776 of the family's 1533-position model. The record is from RNAcentral.